UUCCGGUUGAUCCUGCCAGACCUGACUGCUAUCGGAUUGAUACUAAGCCAUGUGAGUCGUUGUAGCAAUACAAGGCGUACGGCUCAGUAACACGUAGUCAAUCUAACCUAUGGACGGGGAUAACCUCGGGAAACUGAGGAUAAAACCCGAUAGAUCAUAAUUCCUGGAACGGUUUAUGGUCCAAACGAUUCGUUGCCGUAGGAUGGGACUGCGGCCUAUCAGCUUGUUGGUGAGGUAAUGGCCCACCAAGGCUAUUACAGGUACGGGCCCCUGAGAGGAGAAGCCCGGAGAUGGGUACUGAGACACGGACCCAGGCCCUAUGGGGCGCAGCAGGCGAGAAAACUUUGCAAUGUGCGCAAGCACGAUAAGGUUAAUCCGAGUGUUUCCUGCUUAAGGAAUCUUUUGUUAGUUGUAAAACCACUAUCGAAUAAGGGGUGGGCAAGUUCUGGUGUCAGCCGCCGCGGUAAAACCAGCACCUCAAGUGGUCAGGAGGAUUAUUGGGCCUAAAGCAUCCGUAGCCUGUUCUAUAAGUUUCCGGUUAAAUCCAUUAGCUCAACUAAUGGGCCGCCGAAAAUACUGUAGAACUAGGGAGUGGGAGAGGUAGACGGUAUUCGGUAGGAAAGGGGGUUAAAAUCCUUUGAUCUAUUGAGGACCACCUGUGGCGAAGGCGGUCUACCAGAACACGUUCGACGGUGAGGGAUGAAAGCUGGGGGAGCAAACCGGAUUAGAUACCCGGGUAGUCCCAGCUGUAAACUAUGCAAACUCAGUGAUGCAUUGGCUUGUGGCCAAUGCAGUGUUGCAGGGAAGCCGUUAAGUUUGCCGCCUGGGAAGUACGUACGCAAGUAUAAAACUUAAAGGAAUUGGCGGGGGAGCAC
This 875-nucleotide ribosomal RNA is filed under the name uncultured crenarchaeote. RNAcentral's name for it is "bacterial SSU rRNA". It matches the Rfam family "Archaeal small subunit ribosomal RNA", at positions 1 to 879 of the family's 1478-position model. Lineage: Archaea; Thermoproteati; Thermoproteota. The record is from RNAcentral.